CAAAUGGAUUGCCAGGGGUGAGAGUGCAAGGCCUGCUGUUCUACUUUCUGUAGAUGAAGGGCUGAUCAUAUCCACACUUGGAACUGCUGGCAAGACAUAUAGUUCUACUCUCUUGGAUGCAUCAUGGGAAGUUCUCCGUCACUCAUUACGUCAAAAAAAGUCCCUUAUAUUGGGAAAAUAUAUGCCUAUGCAUCACUGGGGAAUCUCCAGAAGGCUUUUAGUACUCUUCGUGAAUUUGAGUCUGCUUAUGGGAGUACGGACAAAGAAGCAGCAGGAGAAUUGUUCUCACCAUUUACUUCUUUAUAUCCUUUGGUUGUGGCAUGCUCAAAGAAGGGUUUUGAGACUCUGGACCUGGUUUAUUUUCAGUUGGAGAAUUUGAGCCGUGCAGAAAGUCCAUACAAGUCAGUUGCUGCUCUUAAUUGUAUAGUUUUAGGUUGUGCAAAUGUAUGGGACCUUGACCGUGCUUAUCAAACUUUUGAGGCGAUUGGCUCUUCCUUUGGAUUGACUCCUGAUAUUCAUUCGUACAAUGCUCUUAUGUAUGCUUUUGGAAGGCUCAAGAAGACAUUUGAGGCUGCAAGGGUGUUUGAGCAUAUGGUAAGCUUAGGGAUCAAACCCAACUCAACAUCAUAUUCCUUGCUUGUUGAUAANNNNNCAAUCGAGAUGUGAAAUCUGCUCUCUCUGUAAUUGACGAGAUGGUGUCCGUAGGAUUUGUCCCCUCAAAGGAAACACUAAAGAAGGUCAGAAGGCGUUGUGUCCGUGAGAUGGACUAUGACAAUGAUGAUCGUUUGCACUCCUUGGCUAAACAGUUCAAAAUUCGAAUGGGUACUGAGACUCGUAGGGACAUGCUGUUCAAUCUUGAUUAUGGCACUGAUUAUGCUUGAUAGGUUGCUUAUCAUUCUUCUUGACAAAGUUUGCGCAGUUCGUAUGUGCAGUUUGUAUCGCAUGAACACUUAUUUUUAAACAAGAAUUCAUUCUUGUUUGUAAAUUACUGUGUUGUACUCAAUUUUGGGUUUUGGCAGCAUGACUCUUAGGAUCAUAGCCUCCUAUAGUCAUAAGUUUAUUUCACAUUAAAAUUAUUUUCUACAAAAGCUGCAGGGGUGGUGAGAUGAUCCAAAUAAUGGUUACUAAUAAUUGUAGGACAGUCUUUAUUAUUUAUUUAGGGUGGAAAUUCUGCUUUAGGUGAGACCAGAACUGGGAAAUGGCUUAAAUGUCAGUUUCUUUCUUUACCCCUCGUUUGGAAUUUGCCUGCUUUCUGUAAAUGCUGAUACUAAUUUUGGGCAGUAAGGAUUUUGUUUUGCAACUCAUUUUUGUGGAGCUUAUAUUUUAAUAAUAAAAUAU
This 1338-nucleotide unclassified non-coding RNA is filed under the name Hevea brasiliensis (rubber tree). The record is from RNAcentral. Lineage: Eukaryota; Viridiplantae; Streptophyta; Magnoliopsida; Malpighiales; Euphorbiaceae.